UGGGGAAUAUUGCACAAUGGGCGAAAGCCUGAUGCAGCGACGCCGCGUGAGGGAUGACGGCCUUCGGGUUGUAAACCUCUUUCAGCAGGGACGAAGCGCAAGUGACGGUACCUGCAGAAGAAGCACCGGCUAACUACGUGCCAGCAGCCGCGGUAAUACGUAGGGUGCAAGCGUUGUCCGGCAUUACUGGGCGUAAAGAGUUCGUAGGCGGUUUGUCGCGUCGUUUGUGAAAACCAGCAGCUCAACUGCUGGCUUGCAGGCGAUACGGGCAGACUUGAGUACUGCAGGGGAGACUGGAAUUCCGGGUGUAGCGGUGAAAUGCGCAGAUAUCAGGAGGAACACCGGUGGCGAAGGCGGGUCUCUGGGCAGUAACUGACGCUGAGGAACGAAAGCGUGGGUAGCGAACAGG
RNAcentral lists this ribosomal RNA (409 nucleotides) under Acidobacteriota bacterium. RNAcentral's name for it is "Acidobacteria bacterium partial 16S ribosomal RNA". It matches the Rfam family "Bacterial small subunit ribosomal RNA", at positions 355 to 776 of the family's 1533-position model. Lineage: Bacteria; Pseudomonadati; Acidobacteriota. The record is from RNAcentral.